This 491-nucleotide ribosomal RNA is filed under the name Enterobacter hormaechei. RNAcentral describes it as "bacterial SSU rRNA". It matches the Rfam family "Bacterial small subunit ribosomal RNA", at positions 576 to 1066 of the family's 1533-position model. The record is from RNAcentral. Lineage: Bacteria; Pseudomonadati; Pseudomonadota; Gammaproteobacteria; Enterobacterales; Enterobacteriaceae.
CGGUCUGUCAAGUCGGAUGUGAAAUCCCCGGGCUCAACCUGGGAACUGCAUUCGAAACUGGCAGGCUAGAGUCUUGUAGAGGGGGGUAGAAUUCCAGGUGUAGCGGUGAAAUGCGUAGAGAUCUGGAGGAAUACCGGUGGCGAAGGCGGCCCCCUGGACAAAGACUGACGCUCAGGUGCGAAAGCGUGGGGAGCAAACAGGAUUAGAUACCCUGGUAGUCCACGCCGUAAACGAUGUCGACUUGGAGGUUGUGCCCUUGAGGCGUGGCUUCCGGAGCUAACGCGUUAAGUCGACCGCCUGGGGAGUACGGCCGCAAGGUUAAAACUCAAAUGAAUUGACGGGGGCCCGCACAAGCGGUGGAGCAUGUGGUUUAAUUCGAUGCAACGCGAAGAACCUUACCUACUCUUGACAUCCAGAGAACUUUCCAGAGAUGGAUUGGUGCCUUCGGGAACUCUGAGACAGGUGCUGCAUGGCUGUCGUCAGCUCGUGUU